RNAcentral lists this ribosomal RNA (439 nucleotides) under uncultured bacterium. RNAcentral's name for it is "bacterial SSU rRNA". It matches the Rfam family "Bacterial small subunit ribosomal RNA", at positions 338 to 774 of the family's 1533-position model. The record is from RNAcentral.
CCUACGGGGGGCAGCAGUGAGGAAUAUUGGUCAAUGGGCGCUAGCCUGAACCAGCCAAGUAGCGUGAAGGAUGACUGCCCUAUGGGUUGUAAACUUCUUUUAUAUGGGAAUAAAGUGCAGUAUGUAUACUGCUUUGCAUGUACCUUAUGAAUAAGGAUCGGCUAACUCCGUGCCAGCAGCCGCGGUAAUACGGAGGAUCCGAGCGUUAUCCGGAUUUAUUGGGUUUAAAGGGAGCGUAGGCGGGUUGUUAAGUCAGUUGUGAAAGUUUGCGGCUCAACCGUAAAAUUGCAGUUGAUACUGGCAUCCUUGAGUACAGUAGAGGUAGGCGGAAUUCGUGGUGUAGCGGUGAAAUGCUUAGAUAUCACGAAGAACUCCGAUUGCGAAGGCAGCCUGCUGGACUGUAACUGACGCUGAUGCUCGAAAGUGUGGGUAUCAAACA